This is a non-coding RNA of Phalacrocorax carbo (great cormorant), 203 nucleotides long. The record is from RefSeq and is a predicted model, not a curated record. NCBI's taxonomy places the organism in Eukaryota, Metazoa, Chordata, Aves, Suliformes, Phalacrocoracidae.
AGGUUGUGCGCCGGCUGCCUUUGGGCCUGGAUGCGCGUUUGAGGGGCCGCAGGGGAUGGUGUUCGUCCUCGUCCGGAAUGGGCACGGAGCAGCCGGAUGAUGAAAAGGCACCUGGCACUUGGAGGACCGAUGCAGUGGGCUGCCUGUGCGCUUGUUCUUCUGAAGGAUGGGUGGACCGGGACUCUGGGCCCCUUGAAAGCUAA